GCCGAAGUGGCGGAAUGGCAGACGCGGUGGUCUCAAAAACCAUUGGGGGCAACCCCGUGUGGGUUCGAAUCCCACCUUCGGCA
Molecule: transfer RNA, 83 nt
Filed under: Armatimonadota bacterium
Lineage: Bacteria; Bacillati; Armatimonadota
Description: Armatimonadetes bacterium tRNA-Leu
Rfam family: tRNA
About the family: Transfer RNA (tRNA) molecules are approximately 80 nucleotides in length. Their secondary structure includes four short double-helical elements and three loops (D, anti-codon, and T loops).
Source: RNAcentral